Homo sapiens (human) is the source of this 2846-nucleotide long non-coding RNA. Ensembl annotates it as long intergenic non-protein coding RNA 1792. The record is from Ensembl. NCBI's taxonomy places the organism in Eukaryota, Metazoa, Chordata, Mammalia, Primates, Hominidae.
AACAUCGAUCUAACCACGACAAAACAAUAGACAAACUCAAAAUGGGAGACAUUGGACAAGAUAACUGGCCAAACUCUUCCGAAGUGUCAAAGUCAUGAUGUCAAAGAGAGAGGGGAGACCUGAUUCCUGCUCCAGGACACCUCAGAGACAGGACAACUAAAUGAAAACCCAGCUACAGCAGAUCAGCAAGAGAAUCAGGCUGUCUGGUUUGGAAAAUAAAUUUUGACACUGCUCUGUCCUCCCUGUCCUGUAACAGGCCAACCUCCCGAAGAUGCAUAAAGACACCUUUGCCGUUGACCAGGCAGACCCUGCAUCCACAGGACAUAGAGAGAAAGGUGCUCCCUGAACACUGAUCUGGAUAAGCAUUGCUGGGUCAGUGCAGAGGCGUCCAUUUCCCCAGUCUGCCGAGCUGGCCUAAAGCUGAGGACCUCUUAGUGGGAGCUGAGGACAUGUGCCUGAAGAGGCAAGCCCUUGACUGAUGGAAAUUGGAGUCUGAGUUCCAUGUGGGGGACUGGGAAGCACAGCAAGGUCUGAAAUGGGAGACCCAGGGAAGGGCAGAGAGGACCAAAGGAGGAAGGGGGUCUACAGUGUGGGAAACAGCCUGGACGCAACAGCCGGGGGAGGAGGCCUGCUCUGGCCCCAGUGGCCCCUUGUAAGCAGGAAAGGCAGCUGGCUAGACCUCUUCUGUGUUAUUCACUCUGAUUUUAUCCUUUAUCUUCCCCUCCCAACCUCACCUCCUUUCUAACCCCAAAGCCAUGCAGCUAAUAUGACUAAGAUUGCUGGGCGUUUGCUUGGAAAUGCAAAUGAGAAUUUCUGGUAGUUUCCUAGUUUCCUUGAUCUCCUUUGUCAAGUUUAUUGAGGGGAAAGGACUCUCGGUUAAAAAAAAAAAAAAAAGAAAAUCCAGAUUUUGAACACCAGCUCUCUUUAAUGCCAACUUCCUGAGGAGCUGCCCAGCUCUGUAACAACCUGGAACAGAGGCGCCAUCACAGACUUGGCUCUGACGGGCGGCACAGCAAGAAGCCUUGCUCGCGUGUGGGACGUGCCCGUUCUGGCCUGGAGAGAGGGCCCAGAGACACCACCUCGCCACCGCCACCUGAUUACUCAUUGUCACCAAUGAGAUGACAAGAACUGAUGACGCAUUUCCCUUUUGCUGCACUCUGACACCUCAGAGACCACAGCAGAGAAAAAGCUGCUUUUGUAAAACUGGAACAUGAACUACGCGGACGCCCCAGAGGAGGUCUCUGCUGCCCUCUGUUGCUGGCUUCUUAGUAACCCUAACCAUUUUUAAGAAUACAGUAUUUGGUUUCAGUAACUUUAUUACAUGAAAAGUAUGCUCGGAGGAAAAAAUGUGUCAAAUUUAAUCAGUCGUGGGUACUAUCAACAUUUUAAAUUGUUGCCAAUCUAAUAGAGGAAAAUGGUAUCUCAUUGCUGUUUUAAUUUUCAUUUUAAAAAUUCUAAGUGAGGCUCAAAAUAGUUUAUUUUUCCAGUUUCCUGCCAGUGGGUAUACUUUUCUUUUUUUGUUUUUUUAAUCUUUUUUUAUUGAUUUAGAAAAGUUUUUGCUGUAAAUGCGUUUCUUUUUAUACUAAUGCUUUUCUCUGUUAUAUAGUCAAAUUUAUCAGUCUUUUCUUUAUAACUUCCGGCUUUCAUGUUCCUUAGGCUAUGGAUUUUUUUAAAUGCAUGCAUAUAUUUAGUAUAGUUUUUAGUAUUUAAAACUUUAAUCAAUCUGGAAUUUAUUUUUAUUGUAAAGUGGGAAAUAGAAGUACAGCUUUAUGUUUCUUUGUUUUUAAAAUGGCUUGCAAGUUGUACCAAUAUUCUUCCUUAAAUGCUCCAUUUUAUGGCUUACUUGAAGUGCAUUUUUGCUUCUAAUGAGACCUGACUUUCUGGCCUAUUUCAGGACUUUACAUUGUUCUGUUGGUCUGUUUUUCUCCUCCUGUAUCAGUACCUAUAAUGUGUAACUACUAGACAUGUAUUAAUGUAAUAGAAUACAUUUCAAUAUUAUAUAGGGCUAGUUUCCCCUCUUGACUAUUCUUAUUAUACAUUUUUUAUCUUUCUAGAUAAACUUUAAAAUCAAGUUUUUAAAAGACACUGUUGAUGUUUUGAUUGGGAAUGUGUUAUAUUUAAUUUAUAAGAGAAAAUUGAUACUGUUAUAUUUUGUGUCCUUGUAGCUAAGGCUUAUGUCUUUCCCUUUUAAAAUUUGUCUUUUUUUAAAGUUCACCAAUAGAUUUUAAAAGUUCUUUUCAUGUUGGCCCUGCACAUAUUUUUGUUGAUUUUAUCCCUAGAGUUAUUUUUUGGUUGUUACUAUAAACGGGAACUGUUAUUCCAUUGUAUUUUCUGAUUAUUGCUUGAAUACAGCAUUUCCACAGCUGAUCCUUUCCUAAAAGCUGACACUAUGACAGCAGUUGGAAAUUAAAAAGGAAAGCCAUGGCAAAAGACAGUCACAGCUCCACUUGGCUGUUCUGUUCUUUCAGAAAACGUAGUGACCUCGUAUGAGUACAUCCCCUGAGGUAGGGUCAAAAGAAAGUCUGUUAGGACACCUAAGAGUUUCUUGGAGAUGUCAGGAUAUCCACCGGGGUUCUGAAGUAAAGAUGCUGUCAUUAUUUUAAUAUAAAUGAUCAAUUAUGAAGAUAUAGUUGAUUGGUAUAAAACCAUUUUUAAAAUCUAUAUUGCUGCAUAGUCUUCAGACUUUUAUUUUCAUUGCCGUGGGGAAGUUUGUAUGAAUUAGAGGAGCUCCAUGGUUUUCAUCCUAUAAGGGACUUCAGAAAAAUAGCAUGAAAGCAAAACUGUGGUAGGGUCAACACACGGUGCUCCUUUAUUUGGUUUGAGGUGUAAGUUAAUAAAUCACCUUC